GUUCAUUCAUGUAGCUUCAGGCGGUUACAAAUUUCCUAUUUUUGCAUCUAAUCUUCUAGAGAAUCAAAGAAUACCUGGAAAUUGAUAAGGAAAAAGGGGUGAGGAAGCAGCAGAUAGCAGCAACACAAAAUCAGCAAUUAAACGACCAGUUUUAGACUCAGAAAAUAACAUUAAGCAGCCUAGAAGAACAACUCCAAACCCAGCAAUGAACCAAAGGACUUCAACCUAGACUUGAUUUCAACUCAUUUAACUACUAGCUACUCAAAAUUGUUUCACACAUUAGGAGAACUUUCAAAAAUCAACCCAAGACUCGAUGAAACAAUAUCUUUUCAGGGUUUUGUUUAGUCUUGGAUUUCAGAAUUUUCAGUACUUG
Molecule: long non-coding RNA, 373 nt
Filed under: Nicotiana benthamiana
Lineage: Eukaryota; Viridiplantae; Streptophyta; Magnoliopsida; Solanales; Solanaceae
Description: long non-coding RNA (NBEN_LNC009408)
Source: RNAcentral